Molecule: ribosomal RNA, 492 nt
Filed under: uncultured bacterium
Lineage: Bacteria
Description: partial 16S ribosomal RNA
Rfam family: Bacterial small subunit ribosomal RNA
Source: RNAcentral
AUUGAACGCUGGCGGCAUGCUUUACACAUGCAAGUCGAACGGUAACAGGCCUUCGGGUGCUGCCGAGUGGCGAACGGGUGCGUAAUGCAUCGGAACGUACCCAGAGGUGGGGGAUAACGCAGCGAAAGCUGUGCUAAUACUGCAUGUGAUCUGAGGAUGAAAGCGGGGGACCGAGCAGCAAUGUUUGGCCUCGCGCCUUUGGAGCGGCCGAUGUCGGAUUAGCUAGUUGGUGGGGUAAAGGCCUACCAAGGCGACGAUCCGUAGCUGGUCUGAGAGGACGACCAGCCACACUGGGACUGAGACACGGCCCAGACUCCUACGGGAGGCAGCAGUGGGGAAUUUUGGACAAUGGGCGCAAGCCUGAUCCAGCAAUGCCGCGUGCGGGAAGAAGGCCUUCGGGUUGUAAACCGCUUUUGGCAGGAACGAAACGGUGUCCGCUAAUACCGGGCGCUAAUGACGGUACCUGCAGAAUAAGCACCGGCUAACUACGUG